AUGGGGGGGUCGUCAGCUCGAUUGGCACAUCAAUUGCCUCGAGCUGAUGGCCGUAUUUCUGGCUCUGAAACGUUUCCUCCAUCAUUUGAGAGGCUGUCAUGUCCUGGUACGGGUGGACAACACAGCGACAGUCUCAUAUGUAAAUCACCGGGGGGUCUGCGCUCACGCAAUCUGAACAAGAUAGCGAGGCAGAUUUUUCUAUGGGCCCAGGACAAGCUCCUGUCACUCAGGGCAUUUUACAUUCCGGGGCGUUUGAAUGUGGGAGCGGAUUUACUGUCCAGGCAGACUCUACCGAUGGGGGAAUGGAAACUCCACCCAGAGGUAGUGAAACAGGUUUGGGGAAAAUUUUACGAAGCAGAGGUGGACCUCUUCGCCUCCAAUCAGACAGCGCAAUUUCCCCUCUACUUCUCUCUGAGUCACCCAGCCCCCCUGGGUCUGGAUGCGAUGGGGCACACAUGGCCCAAAAUGCGCCUGUAUGCGUUUCCUCCUUUCUCUGCUCCCGGGAGUCCUAGCCAGAGUUUGCCAACAAGGGUCUUGCCUCUUGCUGAUAGCGCCACGUUGGCCGAACAGAGUAUGGUUCUCGGAGAUAAUAUCUCUCCUCGACGGCUCACCAUUGGCAAUUCCGGAGAGGAGGGACCUUCUGUCUCAGGCAGGGGGCACAAUAUUCCAUCCCAGGCCCGACCUGUGAAAUCUUCAUGUUUGGCCCCUGAAGGGUACCAACUGAGGAACACAGGGCUUUCGCCGGGUGUUAUUGAUACUAUUCUUAGUGCUAGGGCUUCCUCCACCAGACGGAGUUAUGCCAGUAAAUGGGGUAUCUUUGACAGGUGGUGUGUGGUACACAAUGUAGAUCAAGUCAACUGCCAUAUUGCUUCAGUUCUGGAUUUCAUGCAAGAGAAAUUGUCAACAGGCACAUGCCCUGCUACUCUUAAGGUUUAUGUGGCCGCUCUUUCGGCUUGCCAUGCCUUGAUUGACGGGAUGCCACUCGGGAGACACCCUCUGCUCAUGGCAAUAACUUCGUUGAAGAGAAUUGGGGAUAUGCAGGCUCUGUCUAUCUCACCAUCAUGCUUAGACUUUGCCCCAGGGAGCGCAAAACUAAACAAAAGAUUUAACAAAAUAAAUUAA
Long non-coding RNA from Cyprinus carpio (common carp), 1122 nucleotides. The record is from Ensembl. Lineage: Eukaryota; Metazoa; Chordata; Actinopteri; Cypriniformes; Cyprinidae.